RNAcentral lists this ribosomal RNA (301 nucleotides) under uncultured bacterium. RNAcentral's name for it is "partial 16S ribosomal RNA". It matches the Rfam family "Bacterial small subunit ribosomal RNA", at positions 509 to 808 of the family's 1533-position model. The record is from RNAcentral.
CAGUCGCCGCGGUAAUACGUAGGUCCCGAGCGUUGUCCGGAUUUAUUGGGCGUAAAGCGAGCGCAGGCGGUUAGAUAAGUCUGAAGUUAAAGGCUGUGGCUUAACCAUAGUACGCUUUGGAAACUGUUUAACUUGAGUGCAAGAGGGGAGAGUGGAAUUCCAUGUGUAGCGGUGAAAUGCGUAGAUAUAUGGAGGAACACCGGUGGCGAAAGCGGCUCUCUGGCUUGUAACUGACGCUGAGGCUCGAAAGCGUGGGGAGCAAACAGGAUUAGAUACCCGAGUAGUCCCUGUCUCUUAUACA